GAAGCAGUUCAUAGAGAAUCACUACAGAGCUCAGAUGAAGAAUAUUCAAGAGCGAAAAGAGAGACGGUGGGUGUUAGAAAGGAAACUAGCUUCUUCUGAUGUGCCCAAGGAGGAACAGAUCAAUCUGAUAAAAGACUUGGAAAGAAAAGAAACAGAAUUUAUACGACUUAAAAGGCAUAAGAUUUGUGUUGAUGAUUUUGAGCUUUUGACCAUCAUUGGUAGAGGAGCCUUUGGUGAGGUUCGCUUGUGCCGGGAGAAGAAAUCUGGUAAUAUUUAUGCUAUGAAAAAGUUAAAGAAAUCUGAAAUGCUAAAGAGAGGACAGGUGAAAUUUUACAUACUAUCACUUGUAUAUUUCUUUUCCUGUUAGCCUAUUCUGAGGAGUAACUUUCUUUUUUCUUCAUCAACUGUUGGAACGUCAUUAUGUAGUUGUAUAUUAGAUGUAUGUUAUCACUUGUAUAUUAUAUGAACUUUUAAAAUGCAUUAUGCAGUUGCAAUUAUCCUUUUGCUUUUAUUUGUUGGGAUAUGCGCUCUUUUGUGUACUGCUGCUUCUGCUAUUGUGUUAUUCAUUUUGCAUGUAUUUCUUUAAUGUUCUGACUGAAUGUGUUUUUUCUCAACAGGUAGAACAUGUUAGAGCUGAAAGGAACUUGCUGGCUGAAGUUGCAAGCCACUGCAUUGUCAAACUCUAUUACUCAUUUCAGGAUGCCGAGUAUUUGUAUCUGAUUAUGGAAUAUCUUCCAGGUGGUGAUAUGAUGACCCUGCUGAUGAGGGAGGAUACCUUGACUGAAAAUGUGGCUAGGUUUUACAUUGCUCAGAGUGUCCUCGCAAUUGAGUCAAUUCACAAACAUAAUUACAUUCACAGGGAUAUAAAGCCUGACAACCUUCUUCUGGAUAAAAAUGGUCAUAUGAAGCUAUCUGAUUUUGGCCUCUGUAAGCCUCUUGAUUGUACAGCUUUAUCUGUGAUUCCUGAAAAUAAAACGAUUGAUGAUGAAAAUAUGACCGAACCAAUGGAUAUUGAUGGAAGUAUUCCUGAUGCUGACAAUAUAAGUAAUUGGAAAAGCCCCCAUGAACAGCUUCAGCACUGGCAAAUGAACAGGAGGAAGUUGGCAUUUUCUACCGUGGGAACACCAGAUUACAUUGCUCCUGAAGUAUUACUGAAGAAAGGAUAUGGCAUGGAGUGUGACUGGUGGUCACUAGGAGCAAUAAUGUAUGAAAUGCUAGUUGGAUACCCUCCUUUUUACUCAGAUGACCCCAUAACCACAUGCAGAAAGAUUGUUCACUGGAGAAAUCACCUUAGAUUCCCAGAGGAUGCAAGGCUGUCACCUGAGGCAAAGGAUCUCAUUUGUAGGUUACUGUGCGAUGUUGAUCAUAGGCUAGGUACUGGAGGGGCACACCAAAUUAAAGCUCAUCCUUGGUUCAAGGACAUUGUAUGGGAUAAACUAUAUGAAAUGGAAGCAGCAUUUAAACCAGAAGUCAAUGGGGAGCUAGACACCCAGAACUUUAUGAAAUUUGAUGAAGUAUUAUACUUUUCUGAUCUUUACUUCUCUUUUUCAUGUACUGUUAAUGUACCAUCUUAUGCCUAUUUCGUCAGAUUAGAUUUAUAAUUUGGACUGUUAUUAGGGCAGCUUCUGUUUAUUUUAUUUCAAAGAAGGCAUAUUUUAAUUACAAAGAAACUAGUAGCAUGAUGGUGAAUUCAUAACAAUGAAAGAUUUAUGGCUUUUUGUGUGAUGUCAUGCCACAGCAGGCAGUGAUGCUUAUAAACUAUCAUAAGGUGCAAUAUAUUUUUUUUUCUUAACUUGAUUAAUAGAUAAUAUGCUUAUGAAAAUCACAGGCAUCAUUUUUGGGGUUUCCUUUUUUUCUAAUAAAUUUUUAGGAUGUACUUUUGCAGUCUUUUAGUCAAAUCCUAAAUCCUAUUGUACUUGUGAUUAUUAAGAAUUCUGAAUCACCACAUGUCAUUUUGACAAUUGGCAUGUGAAUGUAUAUCCUUAAAAAUUUGAUGUACUCUUUGCCUACAACAACCAUGCAGUGAAAGUUUUGGAUGUUGAAACCCCUGUAAAUGUUUUCUGAAAACUGUGGAAAAUGAUAUCCCCUAAACUAUGGCUAUGAGAAAGGUCCAUUAAACAGGAAUUAGCUUUCCUUCUGUUGCUUAAUCAUAUAUGAUGUCUUUUUCUUUAUUAUGUAAACUUUGAGAUAUGGUGUUUUUUAGAAAUCUGUAUUAUAAGUUGCAAUUAUCGAUUUGUCAUCAGAUGGAUCCUCCACCAGCAAGAACUGGCUCUGGACCAUCAAGGAAGGUAUUUUGUUACUUGUUAUUCAUGUUUCUAUAAAUUAUAAUGCAUUAAUUUGUACCAGCAGUUGGUGUUGUCAUCACCGCAUUUCAUCUGCAUAUUUUUUGAGCAAAUUUGUUCAUUAGCAAGGUAGUUUGCUUCUGAUUUAAUAAACAUUUGAAUUUAAACAUAAAUAGGUGAUCCUGGCAUAAAGAUUUACUAAUUAGCUAAGUAAAACAGUGUAACUUCUAGGUUAGACAUUCAUGUCGUUAAGUGCGUAGUGGUUUCAUGCUACAUGGAAAGAAAGAAAAAGAUGCAGUAAGAAAAGGGGAAUGGCACCAUUUGUGCUGUUUCUCUCACUACUUUGGUUAAAAUCCAUAGUAAACAAUAAAAUUAAAUGCUUACUUUAUAAUUUCUUUCCAUGAUUUGCUUUUUCCUGAUUUCUCAUUUCAGACUGUUAUUAUUCAACUUUAUCUGACAAGUAACGCAUUAAAUGAGGAAUUGUAUUUUUCUUUCUUCGAACUUUUUCGGUUUUUUCUUGGACUGCCUGCUUUCCUAUUUUGUACUUGAGACAUUAUUGACGUUGCAAAAAAUCAGCUGUUCUGCUAAUAGAACAAGCCCUUCCCUUAUAGGACUGCUAUUCUUCAUAUAACUGCUUUGGAUUUAGAAAAUAUCCCCUUUUGAUGCAGAUGCUAUUAACUCCCAAAGAUUUAAGUUUUGUUGGCUAUACAUACAAGAAUUUUGAUGCUGUCAAAGGGCUGCAUUCUUUUGGUGGUUCUGGGGCAGAUUAUCCUCCAAAACGGCCUGGCGAGGAAACAGAGGUGCAAAUGCUUGCAUCAUCAGGUGAUCCCAUGCUACCAUAAUAUAACAAAAUCACUAUCCUACAAUGCGGAUGCUUGCUUAUCCCAUUUUGAGUUGGGUGUUUCUCCAAAAUCCAUAACAUGUAUGGGUUGGCUUCCAUACAUCUUGCAGAACCACUGCUCAAAGUGUACAGCAGUUAUUGAGGAACUUAUUAAAAGCCCACUGAUGGGUUAACUGGUAGGACAAGUGAGAUUUUUAUUUUUAUAGCUGAAAAGGCUCUGUGUAUUAGAUUUAGAACAGACCUGUGAAACUUAGGCCCUGGCUGCCCAGGUAGGCUAUGGUAAAACAUGCCUUCUCUAGCGGCAGUUUCUGGUCAAAUUUUAGUGGAAAGCAAACUACUAAGCAAUUCGAUAGAUGUUUUAAUGAAUUAUUCCUCGUUACUGGUUUUGUGUGUAUGUUGUGGACAAAGUGAAUAUUCACUGAAGUUUAGGUCCAGGUCGUUUAAUUACUUGUUGAAGUUUCAGAUUAACCCUUUUGUGCUGUUACUUUCUGGAAUCGUUUUGAAAGUUGCAAAAUUUUUCCAUUCUUGGUAAGGUCUAACGUCCUUUUUUUUAUUUGUUACUUUGUUAGUUAUGUUCUGAAGAUCUUGCAAGUUGCAAUAUCA
RNAcentral lists this unclassified non-coding RNA (3726 nucleotides) under Hevea brasiliensis (rubber tree). Lineage: Eukaryota; Viridiplantae; Streptophyta; Magnoliopsida; Malpighiales; Euphorbiaceae. The record is from RNAcentral.